GUGCCAGCCGCCGCGGUAAUACAGAGGGUGCGAGCGUUGUCCGGAAUCACUGGGCGUAAAGGGCGCGUAGGCGGCUCGGUAAGCGUGCGGUGAAAGCCCGGGGCUCAACCCCGGGUCGGCCGUGCGAACUGCAGAGCUGGAGCACUGUAGAGGCAGGUGGAAUUCCGGGUGUAGCGGUGGAAUGCGUAGAGAUCCGGAAGAACACCGGUGGCGAAGGCGGCCUGCUGGGCAGUUGCUGACGCUGAGGCGCGACAGCGUGGGGAGCAAACAGGAUUAGAUACCCUGGUAGUCC
This 292-nucleotide ribosomal RNA is filed under the name uncultured bacterium. RNAcentral's name for it is "partial 16S ribosomal RNA". It matches the Rfam family "Bacterial small subunit ribosomal RNA", at positions 505 to 796 of the family's 1533-position model. The record is from RNAcentral.